This 253-nucleotide ribosomal RNA is filed under the name uncultured bacterium. RNAcentral's name for it is "partial 16S ribosomal RNA". It matches the Rfam family "Bacterial small subunit ribosomal RNA", at positions 524 to 776 of the family's 1533-position model. The record is from RNAcentral.
UACAGAGGGCUCAAGCGUUGUCCGGAAUUAUUGGGCGUAAAGAGCGUGUAGGCGGUCCGGUAAGUCAGCUGUGAAAGUCAAGGGCUCAACCCUUGAAAGCCGGUUGAUACUGUCGGGCUAGAGUCCGGAAGAGGCGAGUGGAAUUCCCGGUGUAGCGGUGAAAUGCGCAGAUAUCGGGAGGAACACCAAUGGCGAAGGCAGCUCGCUGGGACGGUACUGACGCUCAUGCACGAAAGCGUGGGGAGCAAACAGG